Mytilus californianus (California mussel) is the source of this 1490-nucleotide long non-coding RNA. RefSeq lists it as uncharacterized. NCBI's taxonomy places the organism in Eukaryota, Metazoa, Mollusca, Bivalvia, Mytilida, Mytilidae. The record is from RefSeq and is a predicted model, not a curated record. The transcript has 3 exons.
UACUCCAUAUCUAUGAUACAAGUAAAUAUUUGAUUAACCACAUUUAAGGGGAGAUAAUUCUAAUGUUUACAAUCUAGCAGUAUUGUAUAAUAUUGAAGAUGGGUAUUUAUGAUUUUAAUAUUUGUCCUUCAGGUGUUAUAAUGAUAUUAAAGAAAUGUAAACUGGCUGCUUACCAAUCAGUUGAUGGAGCAAGACCUUUGUGAGGAAAUUAUUAAAAAGGGACUUGAAAAAAUGCAGAAUCUUAAAAGUAAAAUGAACAGAAAGGAAAAAUUCAAGACAGCCAAUGUAUGACAUAAGGAGAAGUAGUUAUGAAGUUUGAAAUUGGUAUGAAGGAGAGGUCAUACAUCAGAGAAGACUCAAAUCAAAGUGUACAGUAUGUCGAGAGAUGUUCAGAACAAGUUAUUUUGUUUGAAGAGGAAUCACAGUGGUCAAGAGUUCAUCCUAAAGUUAAUUGUAUUAGAAAUGAAGCACUGAACAUAGUCAUGACACAAUAAUUAAUAUUUAAUUGUUAUUUCAAAGACUGAAGUGAAUGUAAUAGGACUAGCAUUUGUAUGACUUAAAAUGUGGCACUUUUUCAUAUGAAGACUUGGAUGUAAUAAAAAUUUGUGUGCAUUUAAAGACCUGAAAAACUUGUACUGUCUUCUGCAGAUUUUAAAAGAAUUUGUUUUAAACUCUAAUGUCUGUGUAUGAAAUGAAGAAUGUUCUCCAAAUUAUUUAUGAUAAUGUGAUUUCUACCUUGAAUUUAUUAAAGCAACAUAAAUGUUAGACAAAGUUCUUUUUUCAUGACACUUAUUACAGAAUUAAUUCUUAUAUACUUAAUCUUGGUCCUUCCAAGCAUUAUCUUUAUUUCAUAGAUUCUAUGAGAUGGUUUUGAUCACAUUGUAUAUGCGUUCAUAAUGCCACACUUCUUUCAUUUGUAUAAUUGUAAGGACGUUACAAAUACUGAUUGAGGAAACAGGAGUUUCUCAUCAUUCUAAAGAAUAAACUGUAUUAUGUAUCUCAAUUUUUUGUAAACACAGAAAACUCCAUUUUUUCAUCUCAGCCAUGAAAAUAAAAUGUGGUAAAAUUGUCAAUGAGCCAGCUAUUACUGAGAUUAAUUUUGAUUAUUAAGAUUUAUAGCUCAUCAUAGAUUUCAAUACAAAAGAAAGGCCAAAAUAUAACAUUGAAAUACCAUUAGAUAUUAUUAGUUAGAAUCGUUUAUUGUUAAAGGGUCUGGUUUAACUGUAUUGUUGAGUGUCUGUCACACUGUGUUUUCUCAAUAUGUACAACUUGCUAUUGUAACUCCUUUCACAUAUUGUGUUUUUUAUCGUAACAACCCUGCAUAGACCUGAGGUAUCCACUUUAGGGAUUCUAUCGUACUGAAGAUUUACCAGGCAUUGAUUCACUGUUGUUUGUAAUUUUUUUAAAUAAAAUAUUUCACUUCUAUCCACAGGGAACGGUUUUUAUGUUAUAAUAUUGCUGAAGGUUCUUUAGAAGUUACAUUUUAUAAA